Molecule: ribosomal RNA, 461 nt
Filed under: uncultured bacterium
Lineage: Bacteria
Description: partial 16S ribosomal RNA
Rfam family: Bacterial small subunit ribosomal RNA
Source: RNAcentral
GUGAACGCUGGCGGCGUGCCUAAUACAUGCAAGUCGAACGAACGAAUAAGAGCUUGCUCUUAUAAGUUAGUGGCGCACGGGUGAGUAAUAUAUAGCUAAUCUGCCUCUUAGUAGAGGAUAACAGUCGGAAACGAUUGCUAAUACUCUAUACUUCUGCUUUACAUAAGUAAAGUAGAGAAAGUUUUUCGCUAAGAGAUGAGGCUAUACUGUAUCAGCUAGUUGGUAAGGUAACGGCUUACCAAGGCUAUGACGCAUAACUGGUCUGAGAGGAUGAUCAGUCACAUUGGAACUGAGACACGGUCCAAACUCCUACGGGAGGCAGCAGUAGGGAAUAUUGCGCAAUGGGGGAAACCCUGACGCAGCAACGCCGCGUGGAGGAUGACACUUUUCGGAGCGUAAACUCCUUUUAUCGGGAAAGAAUAAUGACGGUACCCGAUGAAUAAGCACCGGCUAACUCCGUG